RNAcentral lists this ribosomal RNA (497 nucleotides) under uncultured bacterium. RNAcentral describes it as "partial 16S ribosomal RNA". It matches the Rfam family "Bacterial small subunit ribosomal RNA", at positions 28 to 506 of the family's 1533-position model. The record is from RNAcentral.
GACGAACGCUGGCGGCGUGCCUAAUACAUGCAAGUCGAGCGGACGGAUGGGAGCUUGCUCCCAGACCGUCAGCGGCGGACGGGUGAGUAACACGUGGGCAACCUGCCUGUAAGACUGGGAUAACUCCGGGAAACCGGGGCUAAUACCGGAUAACUCUUUCCCUCACAUGAGGGAAAGCUGAAAGAUGGCAUCUCGCUAUCACUUACAGAUGGGCCCGCGGCGCAUUAGCUAGUUGGUGAGGUAACGGCUCACCAAGGCGACGAUGCGUAGCCGACCUGAGAGGGUGAUCGGCCACACUGGGACUGAGACACGGCCCAGACUCCUACGGGAGGCAGCAGUAGGGAAUCUUCCGCAAUGGACGAAAGUCUGACGGAGCAACGCCGCGUGAGUGAUGAAGGUUUGCGGAUCGUAAAACUCUGUUGUCAGGGAAGAACAAGUACCGGAGUAACGGCCGGUACCUUGACGGUACCUGACCAGAAAGCCACGGCUAACUACGU